AUUGAACGCUGGCGGCAGGCCUAACACAUGCAAGUCGAGCGGAUGAAGGGAGCUUGCUCCUGGAUUCAGCGGCGGACGGGUGAGUAAUGCCUAGGAAUCUGCCUGGUAGUGGGGGAUAACGUCCGGAAACGGGCGCUAAUACCGCAUACGUCCUGAGGGAGAAAGUGGGGGAUCUUCGGACCUCACGCUAUCAGAUGAGCCUAGGUCGGAUUAGCUAGUUGGUGGGGUAAAGGCCUACCAAGGCGACGAUCCGUAACUGGUCUGAGAGGAUGAUCAGUCACACUGGAACUGAGACACGGUCCAGACUCCUACGGGAGGCAGCAGUGGGGAAUAUUGGACAAUGGGCGAAAGCCUGAUCCAGCCAUGCCGCGUGUGUGAAGAAGGUCUUCGGAUUGUAAAGCACUUUAAGUUGGGAGGAAGGGCAGUAAGUUAAUACCUUGCUGUUUUGACGUUACCAACAGAAUAAUCACCGGCUAACUUCGUG
RNAcentral lists this ribosomal RNA (484 nucleotides) under uncultured bacterium. Its description in RNAcentral is "partial 16S ribosomal RNA". It matches the Rfam family "Bacterial small subunit ribosomal RNA", at positions 30 to 507 of the family's 1533-position model. The record is from RNAcentral.